RNAcentral lists this long non-coding RNA (580 nucleotides) under Gallus gallus (chicken). RNAcentral describes it as "lncRNA (ENSGALG00010018994.1)". The record is from RNAcentral. Lineage: Eukaryota; Metazoa; Chordata; Aves; Galliformes; Phasianidae.
GGUACUCCUUACAGGAAGCAGAACAGGUUUAAAUUUGCUGCUUUGUAGUUUAAUCAGUUCAGUAUAUUUACAGCAAUAGCUUGCUUUGCAGGAUUUCACUGAUCAUCCCAAAUUUAUACUUUCUAAAGAAGCUGGAUAAUUUAAAAAUGUUUGGCCCUGAUCUAACUUCUACAAGGGAAAAAGAAUUCUAGGAACCUCCGAAGAGGUCUUAGAGCUACUGAUGUAUUUGUGCUGCCUGAUUUCUGUUGUGCCAAGGAUGAAAACUCCCUCAUGAUGAGCAAGGAAUCCUUAUCCCGUUGGGCUUUGCAGGUGUUUGAAUGUAGCAGUAGAGAAGAACGUAGUGAGAAGUCCCACAGCAAACUGGAGGGAAAAUCUAUUAGAAAAUGAACAACAAAACAACUCAGCACAAGUAGCACCAGCUUGAUAAAAUGGUGGAAGAAGUGUGAUGGGGCAGAGCUGCUGUUAGGUGGGGACUUGAGGCCUGAGGAGCCUACUGUGAUGGGAGGACUUAGAAGACAUAAGCCCAAUGUUCUCAAUUUCCAGUAAACUGGAUCAGUCAAUAAUUCAUUUUCCUUGGGUA